Molecule: ribosomal RNA, 460 nt
Filed under: uncultured bacterium
Lineage: Bacteria
Description: partial 16S ribosomal RNA
Rfam family: Bacterial small subunit ribosomal RNA
Source: RNAcentral
CCUACGGGUGGCAGCAGUGAGGAAUAUUGGUCAAUGGACGGAAGUCUGAACCAGCCAUGCCGCGUGCAGGAAGACGGCUCUACGAGUUGUAAACUGCUUUUGUACAAGGGUAAACCUGAACACGUGUAUUCAGCUGAAAGUACUCUACGAAUAAGGAUCGGCUAACUCCGUGCCAGCAGCCGCGGUAAUACGGAGGAUCCAAGCGUUAUCCGGAUUUAUUGGGUUUAAAGGGUGCGUAGGCGGCGUGAUAAGUUAGAGGUGAAAUGUCCGAGCUUAACCCGGGAACUGCAUCUGAUACUGGUGAGCUAGAGAGUAGAUGCGGUAGGCGGAAUGUAUGGUGUAGCGGUGAAAUGCUUAGAGAUCAUGCAGAACACCGAUUGCGAAGGCAGCUGACCAAUCUAUAUCUGACGUUGAGGCACGAAAGCGUGGGGAGCAAACAGGAUUAGAUACCCGAGUAGUC